Molecule: long non-coding RNA, 748 nt
Organism: Armigeres subalbatus
Lineage: Eukaryota; Metazoa; Arthropoda; Insecta; Diptera; Culicidae
Exons: 2
Source: RefSeq, a predicted model, not a curated record
UUUUAAGAGUAAAACUUUUCGUUCGAAUGAAAAAUUGAUUGAUUUGAAAGUUUUUUCUCAGUGUAAAAUUUUCAUUUUUACAGUGGAAGCUCUCAAAAUGAAAUUUAUAAAAUAAUCAAACACACUUCGAGAUUUCACAUUUUUUGGCAACUCUGGCAGGUAAAAAUAUCCAAACUGGCAUCCAACGACUAUAUCUGUCAGUGAAAGUUGUAAAAAAAAGAAAAUUCCCGCCGAACUCUCACAAAUUUUAUUUCUUCGAUUUGUUUAAUCAGUAAUUUCUUCGCAUUAUUGGCCAGUGAAAAGUGGACGAAGAAAGUGGACGUAAUGUCAGCAGCAGUAAGAAAUUCGUCGCAGAUUUCCGCAUGAACACAACACUAGGAUUGCCGCCUCCAGCAGCACCGUCAUCGUUCCCAUCCGAAAGUACUUUUCCCGUCGCUGGGAGGCGAGUUAUUUUCCGUACGGAACCAAGCUUGAGCUAGCGCUACAAACAUAGUGAUAUAACAGGCGAACGGCAAUGGACGUUCCUACAACGAUGCUGCAGCAGGAGAUGUGGAAAUUCGAGCAGAAAUGCAAAUGAUGGUGGUACGGGACAGUCGUAAUAGUGACGGGAUGAGAUAUCUACAUUGUCGAAGUGUAUCAACGAGAUUAAAAUUAGAGUCAGUGCAGUUUGGAAGAAAUAACUUUAUCCAAUAUCUGUAGUAGCCUGUCAAUUAAAAUGAGAUAAUAAAAAUGAAAUUAUUUAACUAAA